AGAAUGAACGCUGGCGGCGUGCUUUACACAUGCAAGUCGGGCGAGGCGUGUAGCAAUACACAGUCGAGCGGCGAACGGGUGAGUAACGCGUGGAUGACCUGCCCUUCAGUGGGGAAUAACCCGGGGAAACUCGGGCUAAUACCGCAUACGACCGAGAGGUGAAAGGGGGCCGCAAGGCUCUCACUGAAGGAGGGGUCCGCGUUCGAUUAGCUAGUUGGUAGGGUAAUGGCCUACCAAGGCGACGAUCGAUAGCCGGCCUGAGAGGGUGAUCGGCCACACUGGAACUGAGACACGGUCCAGACUCCUACGGGAGGCAGCAGUGGGGAAUUUGCGCAAUGGGCUAACGCCUGACGCAGCAACGCCGCGUGGAGGAUGAAGGUCUUUGGAUUGGUAAACUCCUGUCAGCAGGAAAAAGGAGGAGACCUCAUACGUCUCUGACUUGAUUGUACCUGCAGAGGAAGCCCCGGCUAACUCUAGUGCCAGCAGCCGCGGUAAUCUA
Molecule: ribosomal RNA, 499 nt
Filed under: uncultured soil bacterium
Lineage: Bacteria
Description: bacterial SSU rRNA
Rfam family: Bacterial small subunit ribosomal RNA
Source: RNAcentral